CAUUAUGGUACUACAGAGGCGCAAAGGUUGUCGCUGACCUUUUCACAAAGGUCGUGCACGCCCGAGUGCUCUCACACACAAUCCACCUCACCACUUGUGCAUCACCAUGCGGAGGCCCCUUGCUCUUGGCUAGCUUCGAGAGGGGGGAGGCUUUCGUUUUUUUUACACACACACACAAUACAGUCUGGUAGUAUAGAAUGUCAUUCAUUUGCGAUAACACGCAAUCAAUACAACUUUCAACAAUGGAUCUCUUGGCUCUCGCAUCGAUGAAGAACGCAGCGAAAUGCGAUACGUAAUGUGAAUUGCAGAAUUCAGUGAAUCAUCGAAUCUUUGAACGCACCUUGCACCCCUUGGCAUUCCGAGGGGUACACCCGUUUGAGUGUCGUGAAAUUCUCAAACCUUCUUGGUUUCUUGACCAAGAAGGCUUUGGACUUUGGAGGUGUUUUGCUGGCUUUGCGAAAAGCCAGCUCCUCUUAAAUGCAUUAGUGGGGUCCUCUUUGCCGAUCCCCAGGCGUUGAUAAGAUGUUUCUACGUCUUGGGAUUUGCUCUGUUGAUUGGGAACCCGCUUCUAACCGUCUCACUAUGGGAGACAUCGUUCGAGCUUGCUCGACCCACGAACCUUGACCUCAAAUCGGGUGAGACUACCCGCUGAACUUAAGCAUAUCAAUAAGCGGAGGAAAAGAAACUAACAAGGAUUCCCCUAGUAACUGCGAGUGAAGCGGGAAAAGCUCAAAUUUAAAAUCUGGUGGCCUUAU
Molecule: ribosomal RNA, 755 nt
Filed under: uncultured fungus
Lineage: Eukaryota; Fungi
Description: eukaryotic LSU rRNA
Rfam family: 5.8S ribosomal RNA (bases 232-385)
Source: RNAcentral